UCGGGAUAGCUCAGUCGGUAGAGCAGAGGACUGAAAAUCCUCGUGU
RNAcentral lists this transfer RNA (46 nucleotides) under Carex hakkodensis. RNAcentral describes it as "partial tRNA-Phe". Lineage: Eukaryota; Viridiplantae; Streptophyta; Magnoliopsida; Poales; Cyperaceae. The record is from RNAcentral.